AGCAGGAUAGGAUAAGUUUAGUCUAUAAGGUUCAUGUCCUUUGGGUGUUUUCUCUUGUUG
This 60-nucleotide transfer RNA is filed under the name Angiostrongylus costaricensis. RNAcentral's name for it is "tRNA-Met". The record is from RNAcentral. Lineage: Eukaryota; Metazoa; Nematoda; Chromadorea; Rhabditida; Metastrongylidae.